GAAAAGGCUGUUUUCACAGCCAAUACAGCAACUUAAGAAAAACAAU
Non-coding RNA from Ornithorhynchus anatinus (platypus), 46 nucleotides. Lineage: Eukaryota; Metazoa; Chordata; Mammalia; Monotremata; Ornithorhynchidae. The record is from Rfam.